GGGAGGCCACAGAAGGAUAGACAAACGGAUGAUAAAGCCUGCACUAUAGGAAACAUAAAUCGCAUAACAGGAGUGAGGGGAGCGAGGGGGAGUCUGCUCUCAUGGCCAGGUAUGAUAACAUUCACAAAAUAUUCUCUGAGUGCGAGCUUACAACGCUACGCAAUCUUACGAGACUUCUCCGGCCACUCGUCGCCUGCCCGCCCUCCCCGACCCAAGUGUCAAAGUUCAUAAAAACGGCUGCGGGAAGGUAAUGCACAAGCCUAUAAUCCAGCAUAUAAAAGGGUUACGGGCCCCCUCCAAUGCAGUGUCGGGGGCUGGCGAAUCGCGCGGUAGCAGCCGUGUAAGCCAGUCACCCGGUAUGCGCAUAUUGAGAUGUCUCCAACACACACACGGAGCGGCCGAGAGAGCCUAUGUAUUUCUACGAUUGCCGAUUUUUCCCCGGCGCAGCGAAGGAAUCUGGGAAGGAUUUAUGCUCCCCGAAAAUCCCAUAAUUCACGAGCUUUUCGAAGGUAUAAAGUAAAGUGGAGAUAAUUGGAAGACGAAAGAAAGGGAGAUAUUUUUCUAGUUUGGAGCCGACAUCGGUUGGGUCUCGCGCCGGCCGAGUCUGGCCGCCAUUUUGUGGGCGCUCCCUCACCUGCCGUCCAGAAGUCGCCCGCCCCCCCUUAAAUUUCCCCAACUUCUUGGCAUCAUCUUGGGAGACAGAUGGACCGAGCCCAUGAGAGGAACGCGCACCAGUGUAGCGUGAUGACCGUUUUUGAGCAAAUUCUCGUUUAAAUGUAUGCAGACUGGAGUUAUGGUGAGGCAAUGGUCGUCAAAACAAACCAGAAAGGUAAGAGAUGACAACUUUUUCAAGAUGGCGACACAAAGACGAUGACGACGGACGUAUCUUUUUUUUUUAUCCCUAGAAGGAGAAAAAAAAAAUGAAUCAUAAUCCUGCUGCUGAGAUAAAUUGUUAAUCUUUGUUGUUGUCUUUUUUGUAUUGAUAUUAAAAGAAGAAACAAAUUU
Penaeus monodon (black tiger shrimp) is the source of this 1005-nucleotide long non-coding RNA. RefSeq lists it as uncharacterized. The record is from RefSeq and is a predicted model, not a curated record. NCBI's taxonomy places the organism in Eukaryota, Metazoa, Arthropoda, Malacostraca, Decapoda, Penaeidae. The transcript is spliced from 4 exons.